ACGAGCUGCAGUCAAGCAGGUGGCCCUGCCGCAGUCACAGCUGAAGCAUCUGUCCCGUGUGGCAUGAUGCCAGGCUGCAGAGGGUCUGCAUCCAAGCUCACUCUGGGGACCUCCAGCAGAGAAGGCCGGCAGUUAGACAUUCCUGGCCUCUCCUGACAGACUGUCAGAAGGGACAUCCACUCUCUUCUGCUGUGUCAGCAUUUUUAAAGGGUGGUAUUGCUGGUUUAUUACUGAAGACACUGCAAGAAUUUCAUGUCACUUUGAUUCAUUGAAGUCAAAGCCUACAGCAACUUUUGGUAAAUGAUUGAAGUAUCCCAAAAUACAAUGCAGAAUGAUAAAUGAAAAUAAUUGAACGAUGUCAACACGUCAAGAGAAUUUGAGCCCGAACAGCAUUCGCAAACCUGGAACUUUUAUCUAUACCUCUGAAAAUAGCCGUUCAGGAGUCCGGGAGUCUGAAAGUCAGCCCAUUGAUCUCAGCGGAAGAAAUCAGUCAGGCUCCUGGGCGCUGCCCCCUGGAGACUGUCAUUCGGAAGGCUGGAGCUGAGGCCAUGAAUCCUGCCUGGAACUGACUGGCAUGCGGACUUCACAGAAGGGAAAUCUUGAAGCCUCAUACAGGUCCUACAGCCCUGCAGGGGCGCAGGGGAGAGGCGUUUCCAAAGCACGGUGACAAUCCACAGAAAUCUGGGGUCCCACAGGCACCUCGUCCCAAGCCAUGUGAUUUCUUGACCUAAAUCUUCGCAGCUGAGAUUCAAGUGUUAGAAAUGACUCCCCAAACAGCGGUCUCUUCUGAAAAAGAAGUUCCUACUAGAGGCCUCUCUUUAAAUGCUUGUCUGUGACAAGACACAGAUGAUGAGCUAAGCCGAGCUGAGGUACCGUGGUGGUUAUGAGGUUCCUACCUUCCAGUGUAGGUUCCAGACUGCCUGUGUUCUACUCACUGGAUUGCGCACAUCCACUGAUGUCGUUUCAUUUUCUCCACACCCUAAAUUUGGUCUGGAUGCCAAGGCUGAUGAUGCCACACAUGUUCACCGUGAGGAAACAGAAUGUUUAUUAUCGUGAUGAUGUUUCUUGAGAGGGAAAGACAGUGGCACCCAACCAUGAUAAAAUGGCUUGAGAAAACAAGACAUGAUAUAAAGUGGGAGACACUGGAAUGGCAUAUUCAAAGUGCUGAGGAAUGAGCCAACAAGAGUUCUAUUUCCAGAAAAAUGUUCCUUCACAACCCAAAGUGAAAUAAAGACAUGUCCAGAUCAUCAAAGGGUAAAAGGAUUUACUGCUAAUGGAAUUGACAUGUCAGAAAUACUAAAAAGAAGUCUUUUUGUCUGGGGAAAAUUUUUUAUAUCAGAUGGCAACUUGAGUCCAUAAGAAGAAAUAGCCAUGAAAAUGAUCCACAAAGAACGACAUAAGAGGCACAUGAAGUCUCUUUUUAUUCAGCCCUGAGGCUCACGAGGCCUGCACCUGAAGGGCUGUGUACCAUCCACGGUGAUGUGAUUUCUUUUUGGACAAGUGAAGCCUCUGUCUUGUCAAGCUGCUGCACCUGUAAAGCAAUCAGGCUUCGAAUUCACACCAGCGAGCCUUCAAUCCACAUCAACAGCAAGAUUCCAAAUGUGACAGUGUCUGAGCAUGUGACUUGGUGUCAAAAACCGCCAAGCUUAUCUCAAAUUCAACAAUAAACCUUUCUAAACCAA
Molecule: long non-coding RNA, 1682 nt
Organism: Suricata suricatta (meerkat)
Lineage: Eukaryota; Metazoa; Chordata; Mammalia; Carnivora; Herpestidae
Exons: 8
Source: RefSeq, a predicted model, not a curated record